UGAAUACGAGACGCUAAGGCGUCGAAGUAGUGUAUGUCAUACUUCCAAGAAAAGCUUGCACUGUCAUAGAUAAAAAACGCCUGUACCAUAACCGACACAGGUGGGUAGGUAGAGUAUACUAAGGGGCGCGAGAUAACUCUCUCUAAGGAACUCGGCAAAAUAACUCCGUAACUUCGGGAGAAGGAGUGCCUUAUUCUUAAGGUUGCAAUAACAAGAUCCAAGCAACUGUUUAUCAAAAACACAGGUCUCCGCUAAGUCGUAAGACGAUGUAUGGGGGCUGACGCCUGCCCAGUGCCAGAAGGCUAAAGAAGCUGGUUAGCAUUUGCGAAGCUAGUAACUGAAGCCCUGGUGAACGGCGGCCGUAACAAUAACGGUCCUAAGGUAGCGAAAUUCCUUGUCGGGUAAGUUCCGACCCGCACGAAAGGCGUAAUGAUUUGGAUACUGUCUCGGAGAGGGGCUCGGUGAAAUAGACUUGUCUGUGAAGAUGCGGACUACCUGCACCAGGACAGAAAGACCCUAUGAAGCUUUACUGUAACUUGAAAUUGAAAUUGGACUUUAUUCGCGCAGUAUAGGUGGGAGGCGUUGAUAUAAUCUUGCGGGAUUAUUGGAGCCAUUAGUGAGAUACCACUCUUGUAAUGUUAGAUUUCUAACUUUGAAUCAUUAUCUGGUCAAAGAACAGUUUCAGGCGGGCAGUUUGACUGGGGCGGUCGCCUCCCAAACGGUAACGGAGGCGUACAAAGGUUUCCUCUGAACGGUUAGAAAUCGUAUCUAGAGUGUAAGGCAUAAGGAAGCUUGACUGUGAGACCUACAAGUCGAGCAGGGACGAAAGUCGGUCUUAGUGAUCUGACGGUACUGAGUGGAAAGGCCGUCACUCAACGGAUAAAAGUUACUCUAGGAUAACAGGCUGAUCUCCCCCAAGAGUUCACAUCGACGGGGAGGUUUGGCACCUCGAUGUCGGCUCAUCGCAUCCUGGGGCGGUAGUACGUCCCAAGGGUUGGGCUGUUCGCCCAUGAAAGCGGUACGCGAGCUGGGUUCAGAACGUCGUGAGACAGUUCGGUCCAUAUCCGGUGUAGGCGUUAGAAUAUUGAGAGGGGCCUUCUUUAGUACGAGAGGACCGAGAAGGACAUACCUCUGGUGUACCAGUUAUCGUGCCAACGGUAGACGCUGGGUAGCUAUGUAUGGAGUGGAUAACCGCUGAAAGCAUCUAAGUGGGAAGCCCACCUCAAGAUAAGUAUUCUCAUC
RNAcentral lists this ribosomal RNA (1242 nucleotides) under metagenome. RNAcentral's name for it is "bacterial LSU rRNA". It matches the Rfam family "Bacterial large subunit ribosomal RNA", at positions 1564 to 2818 of the family's 2925-position model. The record is from RNAcentral.